Molecule: ribosomal RNA, 559 nt
Filed under: uncultured bacterium
Lineage: Bacteria
Description: bacterial SSU rRNA
Rfam family: Bacterial small subunit ribosomal RNA
Source: RNAcentral
AGUUUGAUCCUGGCUCAGGAUGAACGCUGGCGGCGUGCCUAAUACAUGCAAGUCGAACGCUUUGUGGUUCAACUGAUUUGAAGAGCUUGCUCAGAUAUGACGAUGGACAUUGCAAAGAGUGGCGAACGGGUGAGUAACACGUGGGAAACCUACCUCUUAGCAGGGGAUAACAUUUGGAAACAGAUGCUAAUACCGUAUAACAAUGACAACCGCAUGGUUGUUAUUUAAAAGAUGGUUCUGCUAUCACUAAGAGAUGGUCCCGCGGUGCAUUAGCUAGUUGGUAAGGUAAUGGCUUACCAAGGCGAUGAUGCAUAGCCGAGUUGAGAGACUGAUCGGCCACAAUGGGACUGAGACACGGCCCAUACUCCUACGGGAGGCAGCAGUAGGGAAUCUUCCACAAUGGGCGAAAGCCUGAUGGAGCAACGCCGCGUGUGUGAUGAAGGGUUUCGGCUCGUAAAACACUGUUGUAAGAGAAGAAUGACAUUGAGAGUAACUGUUCAAUGUGUGACAGUAUCUUACCAGAAAGGAACGGCUAAAUACGUGCCAGCAGCCGCGGUAA